RNAcentral lists this transfer RNA (73 nucleotides) under Serinibacter salmoneus. It matches the Rfam family "tRNA". From Rfam's summary of the family: Transfer RNA (tRNA) molecules are approximately 80 nucleotides in length. Their secondary structure includes four short double-helical elements and three loops (D, anti-codon, and T loops). Lineage: Bacteria; Bacillati; Actinomycetota; Actinomycetes; Micrococcales; Beutenbergiaceae. RNAcentral also lists the same sequence under 8 other names. The record is from Rfam by way of RNAcentral.
GCCCCCGUAGCUCAGUGGAUAGAGCGUCUGCCUCCGGAGCAGAAGGUCGCUGGUUCGAAUCCAGUCGGGGGUA